This 459-nucleotide ribosomal RNA is filed under the name uncultured organism. RNAcentral's name for it is "partial 16S ribosomal RNA". It matches the Rfam family "Bacterial small subunit ribosomal RNA", at positions 329 to 797 of the family's 1533-position model. The record is from RNAcentral.
ACGUACACUCCUACGGGAGGCAGCAGUGGGGAAUAUUGCACAAUGGGCGCAAGCCUGAUGCAGCGACGCUGCGUGGGGGAUGAAGGCCUUCGGGUUGUAAACUCCUUUCGCUAGGGACGAAGCUUUUUUGUGACGGUACCUAGAUAAGAAGCACCGGCUAACUACGUGCCAGCAGCCGCGGUAAUACGUAGGGUGCGAGCGUUGUCCGGAAUUACUGGGCGUAAAGGGCUCGUAGGUGGUUUGUCGCGUCGUCUGUGAAAUUCUGGGGCUUAACUCCGGGCGUGCAGGCGAUACGGGCAUAACUUGAGUGCUGUAGGGGUAACUGGAAUUCCUGGUGUAGCGGUGAAAUGCGCAGAUAUCAGGAGGAACACCGAUGGCGAAGGCAGGUUACUGGGCAGUUACUGACGCUGAGGAGCGAAAGCAUGGGUAGCGAACAGGAUUAGAAACCCUAGUAGUCCC